CCAGCAGGAGCCGGACGGUUAGGCAACAGUCUGUAAAACUGUCGUAAGUUGGUUCAACUCCAACCUGCUGGA
RNAcentral lists this transfer RNA (72 nucleotides) under bacterium. RNAcentral's name for it is "tRNA-Tyr". It matches the Rfam family "tRNA". Rfam says of the family: Transfer RNA (tRNA) molecules are approximately 80 nucleotides in length. Their secondary structure includes four short double-helical elements and three loops (D, anti-codon, and T loops). RNAcentral also lists the same sequence under 2 other names. The record is from RNAcentral.